GACGAACGCUGGCGGCGUGCUUAACACAUGCAAGUCGAACGCUGAAGCUUGGUGCUUGCACUGGGUGGUUGAGUGGCGAACGGGUGAGUAAUACGUGAGUAACCUGCCCUUGACUCUGGGAUAAGCCUGGGAAACUGGGUCUAAUACUGGAUACGACAUGUCACCGCAUGGUGGCGUGUGGAAAGGGUUUUACUGGUUUUGGAUGGGCUCACGGCCUAUCAGCUUGUUGGUGGGGUAAUGGCUCACCAAGGCGACGACGGGUAGCCGGCCUGAGAGGGUGACCGGCCACACUGGGACUGAGACACGGCCCAGACUCCUACGGGAGGCAGCAGUGGGGAAUAGUGCACAAUGGGCGAAAGCCUGAUGCAGCGACGCCGCGUGAGGGAUGACGGCCUUCGGGUUGUAAACCUCUUUCAGCACGGAAGAAGCGAAAGUGACGGUACGUGCAGAAGAAGCGCCGGCUAACUACGUG
This 472-nucleotide ribosomal RNA is filed under the name uncultured bacterium. RNAcentral's name for it is "partial 16S ribosomal RNA". It matches the Rfam family "Bacterial small subunit ribosomal RNA", at positions 28 to 507 of the family's 1533-position model. The record is from RNAcentral.